Molecule: unclassified non-coding RNA, 741 nt
Filed under: Hevea brasiliensis (rubber tree)
Lineage: Eukaryota; Viridiplantae; Streptophyta; Magnoliopsida; Malpighiales; Euphorbiaceae
Source: RNAcentral
AAUAAUAAUAAUAAUAAUAAAGCUCAGCACCUCGGCGACAGAGGCGCUUGCCUCUUGGAGCUGGGCUUUGCCUCGCCUCACCCAGCGCUUUUAAAAACAUGGUUACAAGCCAAAUUGGAGUUAUGUAAUGGUAUUAGACUUGAAAAACUCCCCUUCCCUCCUCUCCACACUCUAUCAAUUUUCAGUAACAUUUCCUUUUCAAGGUUUUUUGAAUAAAUGGUUAAACAUUUAUUAUUUUGGACAUGUAUAUGGUAUUUUUACUUGUGAAAUUAACAAAAUUCUUAAACAUGAAAUCCAUACUGUAGCAUUCAAAAGCACUUAAAAUAAUAAAUCAAAGUUUAAAAAAAAAUUCAUAUUUGAAUGACAAUCAUUAAAAUUCGAUAGAACUGUUGACACCGCAGCAUAUUAUUAAACUCUUGAAAAUCUAAGCUCAAGAUACAAUUUGCUUAUCUGAAAAGAAAUUCAAUUGCAUGAAAACCACAACUGCUCCAUAAUGUUCAAUCCUGUUUCCAUGACACAACGAGUAAUCAUGAUUGAGAUUGAAAACCAUAAGCCCAAAAACCCUCAAAUUUGCAUACGCUGAUUUCUCUUUUCCCUUCUUUGAAGAAGGUCACGUUGCAGAAAUAAUAUAGAACAACAAUCAAGAAGUUGCAGAUGGUAAAAUACAAGAAAGUAUAAAUUUUUAAAAUUUCAAGUUUUUCUUCAGAAUGUUGACAAAUUAUGAGAGUACCUCAAUCCAUA